RNAcentral lists this non-coding RNA (1043 nucleotides) under Homo sapiens (human). The record is from RNAcentral. Lineage: Eukaryota; Metazoa; Chordata; Mammalia; Primates; Hominidae.
UAGGAUAUGGUAAAUCUGUUGCGGUCCCAAGUUGGUGGGUUUUUCUAGGAAGAGUCAGACCCUUUAAAAGGACCUUUUAUCAUCUACCAAACAAAUCCUUCAUUUAUUAAUUCCCAAGGUUUUCUCCAUCGGUUGGCUUACUGUCAUGGAAAUUGAUCUUGUUUUAAUAGCUACUUACUUUUUUUUAUUCUAAUCAAUGAUUUCAUUUGAAAAGAAAAUUUUCAAACAUGGGGAAAGCUGCAAUAUAAGAAGAAAACAAUGGAGAGACAUCGUCACUGGAAAAAUACUACGGGCCACUCUCUAUACCAUCCUGCACCCCCAGAUGGAGAAACUGAGGGAAGUCGUGGCCUUUCAACACUCUUGGGUCUCCAUCUGGCUUGGAAGGGAACGAAAUGGCUGUCAAGAGUCUCAGAAGCGCACUUUCCCCGUGGUUCCUCCGGGUAACCCUGACUCACUUUUCAUCUACCCAUCCCCUCCAAAACAAGGCCUAGCCAGUUCCAAGCUGGAGAGGUGACCCAGAGUUGCCUUCUGUCAUGUCCUGCCUUUCGUCUCGAGUCCACUAACCCCACUCAGACUCUGUCUGCUCCCACCCCCACCGCGGCCAGUGAAAUCCCAAUCGUCUUCCACGUGGAACCCCAGGUCCGCAGUUAUGAUAACGGAUCACAUCGCUCCUGCGGAAAGUGCGCGCGGUGGAGUGAUAAUUGGACCUAGCGUCUAAAUUCUUGUUGGAGGACCUCGUUCCAGCUGCCAGUUAAGCCUCUGGGAUCCGCAGCGUCUUGACUUCUGAGGUGGGUUUAGAAGCUCUGUUCGCCUCAGUUUCCCACGAUUGAGGGGCUGUGUGAAGGGAGGUCCAGGUUCAAUGGUACUGCGAGAACCACAUGUCUAAGUCGUUGUAACCCGAAUGGGGAAGCCUCCACCGGCGGUUAUCUCCUCCUCCUCCUAGCCUGGGCUAGAGACGAAUUAUCAGGAACAGCCGCGCUCCCGCGGAUUCUGGUGCUGCUCGCGUCCCCGCUCCCCUAUUCCCCUUAUUUUAUUCCUGGCUC